UUGGGUGGCAGACUAUGUCGCCCCACCACAUUCAACCUUCAUACCGGGGUGGAGCAGUUUCUUGGCCUCCUAGGUCACCCCACUUAACGUCGCUCGAUUUUUUCUUGUGGGGACAUGUCAAGUCUUUAAUCUACGAAACUCCAGUAGAAUCAGAGCUAGACUUAAUUGGACGAAUAACAGCAGCAUUUGAAAUCAUUCAAAACGAGGAUCAAAUUUUUAGUGUAAUCCGCCGAAAUCAUGUGCGGCGUUUAAAUCGGUGUAUUCAGGUUGGAGGAAGACAUUUUGAACAAUUGUUGUGAUGGUAUCAUAUACAAAAGGGCCGUAGUGGCGUCUAUAUCCAAGGAUAUAGAGUCUAUAUCCUUGGCCGGCCAGGUCACCCGAUUUAACAUGCCUAGACUUUUACUUAUGGGGUCGUUUAAAAGAUAUUGUGUACCAAACUCCACCUACAACAAGACAGGAUAUGGAAAACAGAAUCCGUGGUGCAAUAAAUGAAAUAUCAGCUGCUGAAAUCGAAACAGCAGUUUUAUCCACCCAAAGAAGAUUGGAAGCUUGUUUGAAAUGUGAUGGAAAGCAGUUUGAACACCUAUCGAGGCAUUAAAUACCAAAUAUGUUUGGGUUUAAAAUCGGUCCUUUUCAGGACCAUAAUUAAAUAUAAAAAGAAAUUCGUUCAUAAAAUUAUUCGCCUUAAGAAAGUCACAUAAACUUCUAGUUAUUCUGUGAUACAUAGGUAUUAUUAUCUUAUGAUUCAUCAAUUAAUUAUUACUUUAAUAAUUUAUUAAUUAUGACAACAUCAUGGUAUCCUAGUUGUGCUAAUACUAAUUAGAGAUUUUUAGGCGGUACACUAGAUGGCGGUACGUUAGUUUAGGCUCGGUGUGUAAAAAACUUUAAUUCGCUAUAACUUUAAAACGAGCAAAGAUAUCAUCGUCCGGUUUUCACAGUACUUUUGCAAAUUUUAUUUACUUUUUAAAGAGGAUGUCAAAAAUAUACCAUUUAAUUUGAAUUUUUAGAGCAAAAUUAAAAAAACUGGAAUUAUUACAAACUGUACCCUCUGGCGCUUUUAUUAGAAACUACAGAGUAGUGAUGAUAUCAGACUUUUAUCUAGCAAAUAAAUUUUGAAUUGCUAAAAUCAAAUGCGUGGUUUAGAAUUUACAGAGAUUUUAAUGAUUCCACUUUCAAUAGCUGCCCCCACCCCUACUUUCGUUCGUACGUCAAUAAUUCUUAAACCAAAAUGAUAGCAAAUUAUCUAGACUCACUAAAAAUAAUAUCAAAAGUAUAAGUUAAUAUUUAAGUUUUCGGAGAAAAAAAGGUUUCUCUUAUUUAAUUUUUAGUUGCGCCCUCUUGCAGUAAAAAGUACGGAACUUAAAAAUAAUUUCCAGAAUUUUCUCAUGGCCACUUUUAUAAAAAAAUUAAUAAAAAAAAUUCCAGGUUGCCAGAUGUACAGCCGCUUACCUCGCUUAUUUGGCCACUCGGUACAAUAGCAGCGUAGAACGAAACUAAAGUUGAGGGAGUCCAAUCUAACUACAAAGACUAAUAACUUCCUCACGCAACUGAGAGAUUGUCCCCAAUUAAUACUUUCUUACCAUCUAGUUUCUGCAGAUAUGGAAACGCAAUCUUUUUUAACCAAUUGUAAAAGUUAUAUUGUCAAACCACUGACUCACGCUUUCGUUAUACUCGUAUAUCGUAUGCCCCACGUCAAAUAUACAUUUUUACAUACAA
Molecule: long non-coding RNA, 1716 nt
Filed under: Anthonomus grandis grandis
Lineage: Eukaryota; Metazoa; Arthropoda; Insecta; Coleoptera; Curculionidae
Description: uncharacterized LOC126750278
Rfam family: Histone 3' UTR stem-loop (bases 621-666)
Source: RNAcentral